RNAcentral lists this ribosomal RNA (478 nucleotides) under uncultured bacterium. RNAcentral's name for it is "bacterial SSU rRNA". It matches the Rfam family "Bacterial small subunit ribosomal RNA", at positions 32 to 507 of the family's 1533-position model. The record is from RNAcentral.
AGUCAACGUUGGCGGCGUGCGUAACACAUGCAAGUCGAACGAUCCUUAGGUGCUUGCAUCUAAGGAGAGUGGCGGACGGGUGAGUAACAUGUGAGUAAUCUGCCCUCGAGUGAGGAAUAACUUCGCGAAAGCGGAGCUAAUACCGCAUAACACCAUGGAGCAUAAGCUCUCAUGGUCAAAGCCUUCGGGCGCUUGAGGAUGAGCUUGCACCUUAUUAGCUAGUUGGUGGGGUAACGGCCUACCAAGGUUAUGAUGAGUAGCCGGCCUGAGAGGGUGUACGGCCACACUGGAACUGCGACACGGUCCAGACUCCUACGGGAGGCAGCAGUGGGGAAUUUUGCGCAAUGGGGGAAACCCUGACGCAGCGACGCCGCGUGGAGGAUUAAGGCCUUCGGGUUGUAAACUCCUGUCAGAGGUGAAGAAUGCCCCUUAGGGGGGUUUGACGGUAACCUCAGAGGAAGCCCCGGCUAACUACGUG